GCAGCCAAUCAGCACUUCAGCCAAAACCACACAACUUUCAGCUUUGGCAGUCGUCAUGUUUCCUGUUCUGAAUUGAAGCCCUUCUGCUGUUCGAGUAGUAUCAGAGUUUUAUUUAGUUUUUCGCAGCAUAUCUAGCGUUGGAAUAUCAGAGUCUUUCAGUUCUCAGAAUUGAAGCCAUUUUGCUGUUUAAUGCGAUUCUGUGCCACUUCUGAAGCUCAGACAGCGCAACAUCAGCAGAGAUCUCAGAGUUGUGAUGGAGGUUUCUUCUCUUCAGCUCAACACAAGCUGGGAUGUAGAAAUGAAAUAACACAGAGAGAAAAAUGGAGGCCAGAAAUGAAACACAAACCAGUGAAUCACAAGAGAAAAACAGACACUUGUUAGAUGUGACAGUAUGAAGAAAUUAAAGCCAGACUGUAAAUGUUUCUUCAUUAUAUGACUUUAAUGUCUUUAGUUUUGCUAGAUCAGAUUGACUUCAGACUUUCUGCACUAACUGUUGAAGCUUUUCACAGCUGUGUGAUUGUGUAAUUGACAGGAUGUUUCAAAUUGAGAACUAUAUCCUAUAAAUUAAUAAUAACAAUGUGUAUGUGUUUUUCUAGUAUGAUCUAGAAGGGCCUUUAAACCCUCGUUCUGAUUUCAAUAGUGAGGUGACAUUCUUGUCAAACCCUUCAUCACUGACGUCCAUCGGCAGCCACCGAAGACCUAAACAUCAUCAUCAUCAGACUAUGGUUUGUUCUCCUCUUUUUAUUUUCCAAGAGCGCUUUGCAAAUUAGUUGGCUGGCUACUAGCAAACUUAAAACAACACUUUGCUGGAUCCUUGUGUAUCUAAUCUAAUAUGAUUUAGCAUGAAGUUCUUUCUUCGUGUUUACAACCCGAAUUCCGGAAAUGUUGGGACGUUUUUUAAAUUUAAAUAAAAUGUAAACUAAAAGACUUUCA
Long non-coding RNA from Cyprinus carpio (common carp), 933 nucleotides. The record is from Ensembl. NCBI's taxonomy places the organism in Eukaryota, Metazoa, Chordata, Actinopteri, Cypriniformes, Cyprinidae.